Molecule: long non-coding RNA, 1072 nt
Filed under: Pan paniscus (pygmy chimpanzee)
Lineage: Eukaryota; Metazoa; Chordata; Mammalia; Primates; Hominidae
Description: lncRNA (ENSPPAG00000044474.1)
Source: RNAcentral
CUAGGUAAUUUAUAAAGAAUAGAAAUUUAUAUCUCACAAUUAUGGAGUCUAAGAAUUCUGGAGUCCAAGGAAGUCCAAGAUCAAGGCGCCAGCAGAUUUGGUGUCUGGUGAAGGCUGCUCUCCGCUUCCAAGAUGGUGCCUUGAUGUUGCAUCUUCUGAAGGAGAGGAACACUGUGUCCUCACAUGGCAGACAGUAGGAGAGUAAUCAUAGCCUCCUGGUAUUGCACAUUCAUGGGAAUAAUGAAUUUAUUUGGACUAGAAACUAAGACCUGUUGGAAUGUCACCAGAAUAGAACCUCUUAAUGAAGUUCAAAGCUGUGAAGUGGGACUCAACUGGGAGGUCUUAUUACAGUACUGUGCUUCUUUUUCAACCAUGGAGAGGUUUGUUUUCUAGAAAGCAAUUUUUAAGAAAUAGAAGAGGCUGUAGAGGAACAAGGAAAUAUACUCAUCAAAACAAUAUUUAAUUGUAUACUACUUAUGACUUCACAAUAUAUUAAAGACCCUUGUGUUAUAAGUUGAUAUUUUAAGCAUGUUGAUUGAAAUGUUUAAAUAGCCAGAAUUUCAAACAUGAAAUCUCUUGCCUUAUUUUUAGUAAAUAUAUACAUAUACAUAUAUUCUGUAGAGAAAAGGAAAUAUUGUACUUGUUGAGUUGAAUCGUAUCAUGCACAUUAUCUGAUUUAUUCCCACUAAACUUUUUUGUGGGUGGUGGUAGCCUCACCAUACAAGUUAUGAAAUUUAAAUUUAGAGAAAGUUAAGUUACUUAUCCACAUUCCACAUUUACUACAUGAUGAAGCUGGAUUUCCCAUUCUAUAUCUGUCUGCCUCUAAAACCUCACAUAUAUAUUAAUUUAUAUUUUAUAAAUUAUAAAAUUAUAGUUAUAUUUUAUAAAAACUUAUAUAUUAUAUAUAUAACAUAUAUAUUCAACUUUUUUAUUGUGGUCAGAAUAAGUAACAUAUGAUCUGCCCUCUUAAUAGAUUUUUAAGUGUACAAUAUAGUAUUAACACAAUGUUGUAUAGCAGAUCUCCAGAACUUAUUCAUCUUGCCUAACUGAAACUUCGUAUACAUUGCACUCC